Molecule: long non-coding RNA, 5204 nt
Filed under: Onthophagus taurus
Lineage: Eukaryota; Metazoa; Arthropoda; Insecta; Coleoptera; Scarabaeidae
Description: uncharacterized LOC111423878
Source: RNAcentral
GACGAUUCGAUCAAAUCGAAAACGAAAAUUAUAAAUGUAAUUCAAACUUUUGUAUUAUUAAUUUUAUUCAGUGCUUUAUCAAUAUUGCAUUUUAUGAAUGAUAACGAUGAACAUCAAGCAUUAACUUCGUCGAUAAAUAUUUCAAUAUUAAAAAUUUUAGUGGAAAAAUAUUUACAUUCGAUACUCGGAGUAGUGAUCAUAAUUUUAUCGUUUAUAAAUAGACAGGAGUAUGUUAUAUUUUUACAAACAGCAUCCUUGAUAGAUAACAUGUUAACCAAGAUAAAAAUAAAUUUUGAUUAUACGAAACAUUACCGAAUUGUUUUGAUCACAACGAUAUCCGGUGUAAUAACAUGGAUAAUAAUAACCGUAAUUUUCGUUUUAGUCGACGAUUAUUUAUCAGUUUCGGUAAUAUGUAUUUUAGUACUUCUUGUAUUCGCUUCAAUUGGAAAAUUCAUUCUUAGUUUAUAUUUAAUGAGAAAACGAAUAUCGUCUUUGAAUGUAUUUUUACGAAAUUUAGAUUUAAAUCUUAAAAAUUCUGUGCGGGAAGUUCAACAAUUAAAAUGGAUCGCUAACAGUCAAAAUAAAAUUGUGGAUGCUGUAACAAAUUUAAACAACGCUUUUAGUUUACAAUUAUUAGCAUUCAUCACUUUAUGUUUUCUUUCAACAUUAUUUGGAAUAUACAGCAACUUUCGUACUUUAUUUUCGGAUUAUGGAGAACAAGCUUUAUGGAUUACUAUUUUAAAUAAUUCUUGUAUGGGUAUUUGUAUGAGUAUUGUUUUAUUUGGAGUUGUAUGGAUUUGUUCAACGACAUCCGAUAAGGUAAGUUUUUUUUAAUUUAUUUAGUUUGUAAUGAAAAGAAAUUAUACAAGUUUAAAACGAUUUCUAACAAAAUCAUUUUUACGUGUUUCUGGAUUUUUGAAAUGUAUGCUACAUUUAAAUGUAGCUAUUUGGCCCUCCCACCACCACUAUCAUCAAAACAUAUCAUUUUAUGAAUCUAAAAUAUCUCCUGAAAAAUGUUCCCUAUUUUAGUCUAUAUGCAUAGCUGUUAUAUGGUGAGCUCUAGCCUUCAAUAGCACAAGCUGGUUACUAUAUAUUUUAGCAUACUUAUUUGUGAAAAUCAUUAGAAAACUGAGGGAUCUCCCCGUUUAUUACUAUAGCAGUUUGUUAUUCUGUAUAAUAUGCAUUCGUGUUUAAGCGUGUUUAUUAAGAUUCAUUAUGAGUGAUAAUGAAUGAAUAGAUUCAUCUAGAGCAAUUCUUAUAUCAAACAAAAUCAAAGUAGUCAAAAGAUUGCACCAUAAAAAGGUUGUGGAAUAUUAGAUGAACAUUCCACAGCUUUAGUCGUGGUUGCGACCAGAACAUUCAGUAUACAAGAGAUCUGGCUGACAACAAUAAAGAAGCAUUAUUUCCAAAACACAUAUCGGAAACACCGUUAAUGAUGGAUCUUUACCGCCAAAAAUAAGUUAAUAUUUUAAAUUCAGCAUUGAUGGCACGGAUACAGCUCCAUAGGAAGCGGAAAUAAAACUAGAUAUAUGCUCUAUUUGCUCAGAUCAGAAAAUGUCUAAGAAUAUAUGUUGUAAAAUGUAUCAUUCGCUGCACAUGUGCGCAAGCAAUAUGUAAGGCGUUAUGAAGAAGCUGUGAAGAUCUUGGAAUAAAUACAUAUACAUACAUUUUUUUAAGAUGAGUAAAUUCAUAAAUUUAACAUUAAAUUUUUCUAUUUUUAAAUUCAUUACAAUAUGGCAGCACUGAUGGCAAAUCACCACGGACGAUUAAACCAUUGAACAACGUACAUCCUUGCUAUAUCCCUAUUUUAUCCUUCCUAUAAACUCGAGUUAUCCGGUUCGAUAAAUCUUCAGCCAAUACUUCCCUGUUAAAAAAAAAUGGUGCUUUGCGUGAGAGAAAAUCUGAAGCAAUUAAUUGUCAGUCGUCCAUAAGAACAUGGUCUCUCUACAUCAACUUACUAAAUUUUGCGUCGAGACUUGAUUCUGCACCCAUAUAAAAUCUAUAUUUACUAAUUGGAGUUUGGAGCAAAUGGAUGUUUACCUAACAUGCGGCAAAAAACAGUGAGUGAACAAGCAAAAUUGUUGGAUAUGGAGCCAAACGAAUCCAUACAACAUACCCCAGCAACAAAUGCAUUCCACAGAAGUUACUGUUUAGUAAUUUUGGUAUGGUGGAAUCAUCAAUGCGAAAUUCUUCCAAUAAAAACUGGCAUUGUCAUCAAUGGAAAACACUACAAAUCAUACAUGAUAAGUAUCUUUCAUGGCCUAAAUUGGAUGGUGAAGGAGACGGUGUUAGAUGCCAUGUAGAUAUGAGGACAUGAUUAUCUUGUAUGGUGGCAACGUGAACUGACCACUAAGACCCUGCGAUUUAACUCCUGUAGACUUCUUCUUUUGGAGUUAUCUUAAAUCGUAGUUUAUGCGAAUAAACGCCACACAGUUAAUAUCCUCAAAGUCAACAUAACCAACGUCGCUCAACGAAAAUCACCUCUUGAAUAAAUACCGCCAAACAAAAUCUCUGUGGACAUUUUAAAGAUGUGAUAAUCCAUAUGUAAUGCCAUCUCGUACACAACUUCUUUUAUUUCUAAUAUUUUUAAUUAAAUUAAUUUCUGCUGAUAUCCUAACAUAAAAUGUGGAACAAAAAGUUAGUAUCGUUCCUAGAAACAUACACAUUCAUACAAAACAUGAUAAAGGAGUUUAUAUAAAUACGAAGAACCGCAUUUAGAAAUGCAUCAUAGAUUGCUUCUUCUGGAUUUCAAUCGACGAUGCAGCAGAUGAAAUACCUGAAGAGCUGACUGCUAAAAAAUGUCUUGUUAAAUACAAAAAAGUUUGAUGCAAGAUUUUGGAUGAGACUUUCAAUAGACAUGAUUUUACUUUUUGUAUGAUGGUAAAAGCAGCACGAACAUUUUGUCCAAAAGUGAUACAUUUAAUUGUUCUUGUAUACUGAGUUCAUAGAGUUUGUGAGCAAAUUUAAAAUACACUAACAUCAAUCGAUUUAUUAUCAAGGCGAAUAAAGCAUUUUAAAAAUGUUCUCAAGAUAAGCAAUUUUUAACGAAAUAGUGCCUUAUCUUGCUCACUCACAGGAGAACGUGGAUUAAUGCGAGACAUUUUUAUGCUACCAAGUUUGAAAAAAUUGGUAAUGUACUUGGGUGUUACACUAACAAUUAACAAUGAAUUGUAAGAAGACGUAAAAUAAGACUUAAUUCUUAUUAUAUCAAAAUAUGGAUUAUGAAUUAUCAAUAAAAGCAGUGGAAACAUCUGAGAUUCUGCUUUCUACACAGAUUGAUGUAGUGAUACAUGCUCAAGAGUUAAUUAAUACCAGCAUAAUCGGUGAAAUUUUAUAAGUCAAAUUAAGUUGUAAUAAUCACAAAAAUAUUUUUAUCUCACCUACAAAUUUAAAUGGAUAUGCAUAUUUUCAAAAUUCUCAUUUUCUUGUAGCAUAUUUUCAUGCUUAAACAACAUAUUUUGAUUUUUAUAGAGCAUUUUUUUUGUAUACGUUGUAACAUAAACUAAAAUAUCUCUAGAUUUAUUUUGUUUAGUUGAGAAAAUUUGUAUCCCUAUUAAUAUCUUAAUUAUUGGUCAAAUUUCCGAAAUAUUGUACCACUAGUGCCUAUAAAUACAGAAAAAUCACGAUAAGCUAUCGAGAGUUCUUCAAAUUGUGCGUUAAUACCGAGUACUCAAUACUAGUACUUUAAAAAGAUAAGAAUCCGGUUAUAAUCUAAAUUAUUAAGUGAAGUUGAAGUGAGUAAUUAUUGUUAUUUAUUAACGUUAAUAACAGCUGUUAUUAUGAAAUUCUAAACAAGAGGUUGCUUUGACGAACCUCUAUCAUAAAAAUGCCUAUUGUAAUGGGGAAAAAAAUCCUCAUGAUUAAUUCAUCAAUCAGAAAGCGGCAACCAAUACUAAUUUAUCGAAACAACCUGAUAAGUAACAAUAUAUAAUAGGCAACGACAUUUUAAGCCAAUAUUAAACUUUGUGACCAGAAAAAUUCGAAGAACAUUCUAUUUUGUUGAGCAUAAUUUGCCAUUUAUAAUCGCCUAUCAGAGUUACCAAGGAAAAUAUAUUGCCAAAAAAUACAGUCUGGGAGAACAAAACUUAGUGCUAUAUCUAUCAAUUUAAGUAACUCCGAUAUUUCAAAUUUUUAUUGAUAUUUGUUAAGGAUUUAAUAUCCAUCAAACAUAUAUAUUUAGUAGCCCGAUAUUUUUUUCAAUAUGAAAUAAGCACCUUCUAUAAUUUUCAAGUAAUUUACCAACUUUUUCAAACAGGACGAUAUUCCUUUCUUAUGGAUUUGCUUGUGACGGUAGAAACAUCAUGGUUAGAUUUAAUAAUUCAGUAUCAAUUUAUCUUUUGAUGAUAUUUUUAGAAUUAGUUGUAGCCAAUCAACAAUGCAAGGCUUUGUAGCAGUAUUAUAUUGAUGCGAUAAAUCAUGAAAAUUUUACAAAGCAACAAUCAUAUUAAAAAAGAACAUCACCUUCUCAAACUUUAAUUGCUUAAACAAAGAACACAAUCAAUUGCACCACAAAUUCUUAUAAGCUAUAAGCUUAGAUAUGUAAUAUAAGCUAUAUGGUGUAGUCAGUUAUUCAUACAAAUCAUUGUUAAUUUUCUUUAAUUGAUUCAUUUAAAUUUAUACAUUUCCCAAACAUUAAUCUGCAUAAUAAGAAGUAAUUCAAAUUUAAAGAUUGUUGUUUAGAAAAUUAUACGGAAAUCGCGUUACUAAUCUAAAGAAGUUUUGAUUUCAAUAAUAAUGUGGUUGAGUCUUUGGGACUACUUGGUCUUCAAAACAUACUGAGGAAACUAUUGCGCAAGAAUCGUCAAUUCAUUACUUAAUAAUAAUAAUCACGAUUUCGACAACAAACGGCGACAACGUUAAAAUUCGCAAUUUACAUACAAUACAAGAGGUAAAUAAUAAUAAAAAAAGUUUAUGAAACUUACAACUCUACCGUUAUUCUAUCAUUAGCAUUGUUACAAUGAGAAACAUUAUUAUAAGAGGUACAAGAAUGGGAGAAAUUGGUACGCCUAAAAAAGUAAAAGUAAAAAUUUUAUGAACAUUUAAUUAACAAAGUAGAUAUGGAGUGACACAUACUUCAUUCAAGACACAACUUGAAAGGUGGUUGAUUUUUUUCGAGGAGCUGAGAAUAAUUUUAGCCAAUUCUAAAUUUGGAUCCAUUAAAGAAAGACAGGAAGAAAGUUAUCUAUACGAUCCAGAAUAAAAAA